GACAGAGGGUGCAAACGUUGUUCGGAAUUACUGGGCGUAAAGCGUGUGUAGGCGGUCCACUAAGUCGGGUGUGAAAGCCCUGGGCUCAACCCAGGAAGUGCACUCGAAACUGGCGGGCUAGAGUACUGGAGAGGUUGGUGGAAUUCUCGGUGUAGAGGUGAAAUUCGUAGAUAUCGAGAGGAACACCGGUGGCGAAGGCGGCCAACUGGACAGAUACUGACGCUGAGACACGAAAGCGUGGGGAGCAAACAGG
This 253-nucleotide ribosomal RNA is filed under the name uncultured bacterium. RNAcentral's name for it is "partial 16S ribosomal RNA". It matches the Rfam family "Bacterial small subunit ribosomal RNA", at positions 524 to 776 of the family's 1533-position model. The record is from RNAcentral.